RNAcentral lists this ribosomal RNA (253 nucleotides) under uncultured bacterium. RNAcentral describes it as "partial 16S ribosomal RNA". It matches the Rfam family "Bacterial small subunit ribosomal RNA", at positions 524 to 776 of the family's 1533-position model. The record is from RNAcentral.
UACGAAGGGGGCUAGCGUUGCUCGGAAUCACUGGGCGUAAAGGGUGCGUAGGCGGGUCUUUUAGUCAGGGGGGAAAUCCUGGAGCUCAACUCCAGAACUGCCUUUGAUACUGGAGAGCUUGAGUCCGGAAGAGGUGAGUGGAACUCCGAGUGUAGAGGUGAAAUUCGUAGAUAUUCGGAAGAACACCAGUGGCGAAGGCGGCUCACUGGUCCGGUACUGACGCUGAUGUGCGAAAGCGUGGGGAGCAAACAGG